UAACCUUCACAGUUUCCUUCAUCUCUCCCGCAUCUCUAAUCUAAUUACUUCUCCUGCAUCUCUCUUUCUUCUUUCCUUCACAUUUUCUCAAACAAACCCUAGCCACCGCCGCCACGAGUGCACCACACUGACCACAGCCACCACCGCCACCUUUCAGGCCUCAAUAAAAAAUCUAACACUUCAGGGUUACGAAUUCAGAGAAACCUUCUUCUUCUCGAAGCAAUUCAACUUCCUCCUCGGCGCAGCUGUAUUCGGACCCAUCAACGACUUCCUCCCUUCGGACGGAUCGGCUAGGGCUUCAAAGCGUCCUUCUUCCUCCCUUCAGACGAAUCAUCUGUAUUCGGCGCGUCUUAACUAGGGCUGCAAACCGUCCUUCUUCCUUUCAGAUGGAUCGGCGGCUAACGACUGCUAACGACUGGGAUUUGGGAUUUCAUUUGGGUUGUUCGGCGUUCGGCUAAUUCCUACGUUGCAUCUGGGAUUUCAUUUGAGUCGCAGCUUCACUUGUGUUAAAUCUCACUCUACUAGUUUGUAAUAUGCAAGUACAAAGAAAAUUGAUGCAGAUGCAGAUGUUCUUCCUUGCCAUUUAGAGGCUCUUUUAUCAAGUUAAGCGAAUUGCAUCAGAUUGGCUACUACUGAUGUACUCCUCCUGAUGUAAAUUGAAUAUGCUACUACCUUGAUUUAAGUUGAAUCAGAUUGGCUCGUGUGAUUGUGCUCCUUCUGAUGUACUUGUUUUUAAAUAUGUUUCUGUAGAUUGGCUCACAUAAUACUUCAAACUUAUCCAAGUUCAAUAUGUUUCUGUUGCUUAUCAGAGGAAGAGAAGAAGUUCAUGACUUCAAUGAUUGUGCUUAGUUUGUACUUUGUAGUUCAAUAUGUUUUGUAGCUUUUGGUUGUUAUUUACUUAUUUUCUGAUAUUGAACUUUGUGACCGAGAAUGUUGAACUUGUAUGAAGUGCUAGGCAUUUAAAUUCUAGACUUUUAUGUGGCAUGUAUUUCUAAAUUUAUGAUUGUAUUUAGUGAAAUUUUUGUAAGCCUUUUUUGAUUAUGAUCAUGUGAAAAAUUAUGGUCAA
Molecule: long non-coding RNA, 1066 nt
Organism: Coffea arabica (coffee)
Lineage: Eukaryota; Viridiplantae; Streptophyta; Magnoliopsida; Gentianales; Rubiaceae
Source: RefSeq, a predicted model, not a curated record